Molecule: ribosomal RNA, 205 nt
Filed under: uncultured bacterium
Lineage: Bacteria
Description: partial 16S ribosomal RNA
Rfam family: Bacterial small subunit ribosomal RNA
Source: RNAcentral
AGCGCAGGUGGGAAUGUAAGUCAGUCUUAAAAGUGCGAGGCUCAACCUCGUGAUGGGACAGAAACUACAUUUCUUGAGUGCAGGAGAGGAAAGUGGAAUUCCUAGUGUAGCGGUGAAAUGCGUAGAUAUUAGGAGGAACACCAGUGGCGAAGGCGACUUUCUGGACUGUAACUGACACUGAGGCUCGAAAGCUGGGGAGGCAACG